RNAcentral lists this ribosomal RNA (500 nucleotides) under uncultured bacterium. RNAcentral describes it as "partial 16S ribosomal RNA". It matches the Rfam family "Bacterial small subunit ribosomal RNA", at positions 30 to 523 of the family's 1533-position model. The record is from RNAcentral.
AUUGAACGCUGGCGGCAUGCCUUACACAUGCAAGUCGAACGGCAGCACGGGAGCAAUCCUGGUGGCGAGUGGCGAACGGGUGAGUAAAGUAUCGGAACGUGCCCAGUCGUGGGGGAUAACGUAGCGAAAGUUACGCUAAUACCGCAUACGAUCUAUGGAUGAAAGCGGGGGAUCGCAAGACCUCGCGCGAUUGGAGCGGCCGAUAUCAGAUUAGGUAGUUGGUGGAGUAAAGGCUCACCAAGCCGACGAUCUGUAGCUGGUCUGAGAGGACGACCAGCCACACUGGGACUGGGACACGGACCAGACUCCUACGGGAGGCAGCAGUGGGGAAUUUUGGACAAUGGGCGAAAGCCUGAUCCAGCCAUGCCGCGUGCAGGAUGAAGGCCUUCGGGUUGUAAACUGCUUUUGGACGGAACGAAAAGGUUUGGCCUAAUAAGCUGAGCUCAUGACGGUACCGUAAGAAUAAGCACCGGCUAACUACGUGCCAGCCGCCGCCGUAA